CCCAGGGUGGUAUAGUGGUUUGAGUGUUGGACUAUGAUUCUGGAGACCAGGGUUUGAAUCCCAGCUCAGCUG
This 72-nucleotide transfer RNA is filed under the name Phrynosoma platyrhinos (Desert horned lizard). RNAcentral's name for it is "tRNA-OTHER". Lineage: Eukaryota; Metazoa; Chordata; Lepidosauria; Squamata; Phrynosomatidae. The record is from RNAcentral.